Long non-coding RNA from Zonotrichia albicollis (white-throated sparrow), 6354 nucleotides. RefSeq lists it as uncharacterized. The record is from RefSeq and is a predicted model, not a curated record. Lineage: Eukaryota; Metazoa; Chordata; Aves; Passeriformes; Passerellidae.
UUGAUUUAAAAUUAACUUUCAAUUAAGAGAUCCAUAGGACUCUUAACUGCGACACUUAUCCAUUCAAGAGAAAAUAAAGGUACAUUUAUCGAUACACUUAAACAGCAGUGGCUGGUUUCCUAUUGAUUCAGUCAUUUGCGCUGGGAUUCGUUAGCGUCAUCUGACUUUAACUCGCUUACCAGGUCCUCACAGUGUGCCAUGCUGAAAGGUGCAGGAAUGUACAAAGCGAGACAGGGGAGCCAAGGAAUUAGGUGUAUGCAGAGGUAACAGUUCUAUUGGCUCGUAACAGCUCUGAAAGAUCACCUAUUUGUGUGCACUGAUUAACAUAUAAUCCAUAGGAAGCCUCAUAGCCCAGAACCGUCCAGUGAAAUGAAGCAGCCCCAAACUGACUCAUUUAUUACCUAUUCAUUUGCUGUGAUGAAAUCUCCAGGAGCAAAAAAACCACUGCAGUAUAGAAAUGUUUAAAUGUUAAGACCUAUUCUGAUCAACUGAGAUUAUUCCUUAAACUGAGAACCACAAACAGAAUGUAUAUAACUUGCAUAAAUCAUCACCAAGAUUCUGUUUUUAAAAAAAUUAUUUUGCAAAGAAACAAGAUCAAAUAUUUUGAAGCCUGGGUGUGUUUUACAUUAUGUCAAGCUGCUGUUUCCAUUAUUUUUUCUUUUCUCUGUCCACUAAAGGUUAAAUAAUACCUACCAAAGGCUCGUUUGCAGAGUUAUGAUAUGAUAUCUUUAGGAUCAUAAUAAACCAGAAAACUGGGUAUGGACUUUUGUUGCUGGGUGAGAGUCAAAAUCAGAAAGACCAGUGUAUUUGCAAAGCAAAUACCUCCUCCUAAUAGUUCUAAAUCACAUAAUGUUAGUGUAACAUAAUUUGGAAUAUAUUAUGACGGUUACAAUUACUAAAAAGUGCAUGAUGCCAUUAUUUCCAACUGGAAAUUAGAUGAUUAUACUAAUUAAGUGAUAGCAGGUGGCACAAUGACUGCUACAAUCUUCUCUGAUGUGCACAGAGAGAUGCAUGGUUCACUGUCUAAAACACUCAGGAAUAGUAACAAUUGGCUUAAGCAGUUUUCUGUCCCAAGAUGCAGAAUAAGGAAUCACUUUGAUUUAACACUUCCUUAUCACAUCAAAGAGGUGAAGGGACAUCUUUAUGGAUUGGCUUAGGAAGAAAAAAAUGCUACUAGUUCAGCUUCUACCCUUGCAUCUAACGUUUCUUGGUAUAACAGAAUUAAAGUAUGAAAUGAGUUCCAAGAGAAUCAUGUAAUUCUAAAAUGUCAGCAACCUUCCUUUAAAUUGCAACUGGCCUAAAUUCAUCAUUACUGCUUUUAAGUUCCUGAAUUUGGAAUUGCUAUAGAUGUGCUAUUGAGUCUCAUAAGUCAAGCAAACUGGAAAUGUUGUAGUAAAAUAAAUAUUUCUCUGUCAAUAAAAGCACUAAAUACUUUUAAGAAUAUAUGUGGUCGUUAAAUACAUUUGAGUUUUAACUCAAAUUUACUAAGCAGUAUUUGCACAUUAUUUUUAAAGCAGGAUUUGAAGAUUAUUCCCAAUUUCACUGAGUUAGACAAAUAAUCCUCCAGUCUCAUGAGUUAUUUCAAAGCUUGUUUUUCUUGUCCUCUCUGCUCUAUGUUCAGACUGAAGUAAGGCUAAGUCAUCACUGACAAUUACUUUUUCACAUAAGUCAUUGUUAGUUUUAAAACUAUGAGAUAUGUUUAAGAAGCUACUCUCUUUUAUUUGGACUUCCAUGUGCUUGUGGAGUGUGACCUCAGUUUAAGGAUGGCAGGGGGAGCACAUCUGAUGAAGAAAAACCAUGCUGUGCAAGAAUGCAACCGCCAUAUGCCUAAGAGGCAAAAGUGAUUCUUACAAAUGAUGAAAAAUAAAUGUUAUCUAAUUUCUGAAAACAUCUUAUCUAGCUUUAUCUGUCUCUGUAGCAUUCAUUUUAGUUUUGUUACUGUGUUUCUUACUACAGAUCAAAAGCAUGGCUGAUAACACUUAAGUUUAGAUGUAUUUGUAACAUGCUGUGAUAUCUUACAGCAUAGGUAGUUCAUUCAAACAAUUACUGCCUUCUCCCUCCAUAUCUUACAAGGCCUUACCUGUGCCACAAUUUCAAGCAACGUUUUUGCUAUCCGACUUUCUGCAGGUGAACACAAGAGAAAGAUGGAUCAGACAGUAGAAGGUGAACAACUAUUGUUUUCCCCAGGAUGUUGUGCAUUACAUUGUGGUGACAUUCUCAGGGAUGACAUGUGCAAAUUAAAGCUACCCUACUUUUCCUCUUCUGCUAAAACAGAGUUGUAUUGCUAUGAUAACCACAAGUACUGUGCAGAAUGUGUCUGUGGCAAGGACAAAAAAAGAAGGUUCUCCAACUUGGAAGCUUAAAUGAAACUUUCUCAUUAGAAUGAGAUUUGAAAGCUUGUGAAAAUCACACAUCUUCAUUUUCUAAUGUUUUAAUAGAACUUAAUGGAAGGAAACUAAACUUCUGAAUACAAAAAAAAAAAAAAAAAGCCUUAUCUCCUCCAUGAAUACCAAACUUCUCAGCAUUUAGAAUACUAUCAUAUAGAUGUUGUUCAGUGAAUUGAUAUCACAGCUGCAUCUUUUCCAGGACAAAAUUUGAGCAAAUUUCCUGCAAUGAACAUGACAAACCUUGCUCUCUGUGGCUAAAACAAAAAACUUUACUACUGCACCCCUGGAUAUUCUAUUACCUGUGCAAAUGGGAAUAAUGGUAGACAGUUACUCAGAGACAGCUACUGGAGAAAUUUGAACUUGUUGUUCAACUAAAAAUAACAUUACCAUACUAUAGGCAUGAGGCCAGGUCUCUUACCUUCAAAUGCCACUGAUUACUUCAGCCUUAGCUGAACAAAAAUCCUUAAUCUUCUCUUUUUAAUAUUGAAGAGGUAAACCCUCUUUCACCUGCAUGUGGAGUCUCCUUUUUAUCAAAGCUCAGGAGAUUCCAGCAACAAAAUCAAUGUAUGCAUGUUCAGAGCAGUUUUCAGGGGUUUGUAAGACAAAUCUUUCAAAUGGGAGCUAGUUUAAUGCUAUUGAGCUGAAUUUCGAUCUGACAGAGUGAGUGAACAACAUAGAAACAGUUCACUUACCACUGCUCACACUACAGGAGGUGGGAAUCAGGUACAGCUCUGUACAAAUACAGCUGCGCAAUUUCUCAGUAAACUCUUACCCUACCUAAUCCAAUGUUAAAUGCAACCAUACAGGGUUUAAACAGAGACUUAAGAAAGAAAUGCAAUUUAUUUCUCUACAGUAAUGAGUGACAAUUAUGGUUUUCUCAUACAAACUAGUGAAAAUUAAGACUAGCUCUGCUAAAUUUAAUAGUUGGGCUACUGCUAAGCUAAAUUUAACUGAAGCAUUUUCAGAUUCUGUGUCCUAACAGAAAACUGUAUCUGAACUAUGAUCUACAAAUGUCCUGUUAUGCAUUUCCAUCUGUUUUAAAACUUCCAACAACUUGCAUUCUGGAUUUUUUUGAAGAAAAAAGAACACUUAAAUAAAGCUCAAUUUCAUUGCCACACAUUUUAGGUUAAUAUGAGCUGUAGUACAGCUUUGCAAAGACAGAUUCUUUUGUUCCUGUGCUCUGAUUCUUUGAAUGCCAAUACUUCAAUCAGCUUAGAAUCAGAGACAAUUCAUUCCUCUUCUGAGAAAAUGGUAUUAUAGCCACAUGUCCAUAUCACCAUUACAUCAUGAAAGUCUCCAUGAUCAUACAUCUGAUUAGAAAAACGAUCACUAGUCAUUUCUGGAGCUAUUCAGUAUCUGGAAUAAUAUACUAUAUGCUUCCUCUGUGCUAUUCAGAUUUCUUCCUUUUAAUAAACAAACUAAUGAGACUUCUACAAUGCUUGAAUAUCCAAUCAGAGUGGCAAAGUGUAAACUGAAAUAAACAAAAAAAUCCCAAUUCUUUCAAUAUGUAUGUUACAGUGGCAACAUGCCACUUGACAAUUCUCAAUUUAUCAAUGGGACAAUAUUCUACUAGACAACCAGGGACUAAUGGGAACAAGUUUUGCACACAUCUAGUUCAAAUACACAGUUCCAGGCCCUCAAAAAUAUAAACAUCAGCUUCUCCUGCCAUUAUUCAGUUCAAAUCCACAGCUCUAAGUAAACAAGAAAUGUGAUUGUUGUGUUAACUCUGUGUUAGCCCUAAAUGUUUCUCCUUUCAUGUUGUGCAGGUGAGGUAAUGAAGUUCUCUUUAAAAGGGACAAAUUAGUACCAUUCCUUCUGAUGCUCUUAAUUUCAGUGGAUGUAUAUAGUACACUUUUGUAAUCCAUACAGAAAUACUAGAUGGCAUAAUGUAGCAAUGCAUGUUUCAUACACUGUAAAAUAUAAAAAAACCAGUAUAAAUUAUAAUAGUGAAAAAAAUUCAGGACCCAGGGUAGGUUACUCAUAUUAGCAAAAUUCCAGCAGACUAGCCAUCUUCCUUACAUUAAAAAUGUCUAUUAUCCGGUGUAAUUGAAUAACUCUCUGAUAAUUACAUCAGCAUUUUAAUACUAUAUAAAUAACCUCUCCCCUAAUUACCAUUUUGUUAAAUUUUUCAUAUAUUGCAGUGCCAUGAAAGGAGGUUCUUGGUAAAGUACUUUACCCUUUCAACAACAAUUAUUAAUUCAAUUAACAGGUCUUUUUUUAAAAACAAAAGCUCAGGGAGAAAGUGCAAGGAGGUUCACAGUUGAAAGGAGAGCUCUCUGUUAUGCUGUAAUCAUGGCUUCAUGGCUAUGGUAGUAUAAAAUUUGUUCAUGGCUUAUUUCUCUUUCAGUGCAGCCCUCAAUAGAAAUGACAUCUGCUUUUUGGUGCUGUGGAUAAAAUCCUAUGCAUAUGACUCAAAAUAUAAGUGAACCUAUCUGGUUUGGAAAUUAAAAGAGGUAUUUCCCCAUGCCAAUUUAUUUUUCACACGUGAAUUUGUGUAUUUAUUUUUAAAAGAACCCACAGAGAUAGCCAUUUCAUUGAAGUCUUGAAUUAGAGGGGAAAUACAUUGUCAAAAUUAGAAACUGAAUUUUCUCCCACCAAACAUUUAGACAGUCACACUUUCCUUUUCCCUGGUGUCGGGGAAGGAAAGUGAAAUGCCUGGCUCAGAAAAGCACUGUUGAACAGAAGAUGCAGUCCUCACUCAUCCAUAGCCUGAGUGAGAAGCCAAGCAUCUGAAAGGCUUUGAAUCAUGGGUGACCCUGUAGCAAAACAGAAUUGUGUUAACUGAAUGGCUGACAAACACAACUGUGGUUCACAUAGCAGUAAUAUUCAGAAGCUAUAAUAAGAUCUGCAACAUUAAUGUUUUCAGACUUUAUAAUCAGUGUCAUUUUUUGCUAAUUUCAGGCAUUUUAUUUAUCUCAUGACAGACAAUGCCCCAGUUAAACUUGUAUCUACUGUCAGAAUUUCAAAAUGUCAUAUCAAGUUUUACAGAAAACUCAUUCUUUUUAGAAGUAAUUAGUUAAGGCAUAGUUUGCAUGGCAAUUAAAAACCACUUGCUUGCAGAAGCUUGUAAGCAUUAUGUAAUUUUUUUAAACUACAAGUACACGUGCAUAUUCUUGCCUCCAGCUUAAAUACAGUGAAUGUUGCAGUUGGUUGCACAGGAAUUGUCUCAAAAACAUAAAAGCAAGCCAAACACGAUUGUAUUCCAACUAAAAUUGCUCUCUUUAUACCAUGUAUUGAAACUUGAUAACUGUUGGUUAUAAAAUUCCUUUGAUUUUCUGUAGGUAAUAAAAUACUUUGGCAAUUACUAUUGACAGUUCUGGAUAAUCUUGAAGGCUGCCUUGCCUGAAGAAGAUGAGUGUUACAAAUCACUCCACUGAAAGAGGGAAGAACAGCAGCAGGCAGCAGACAGGUUUCAAUUUCACAAUGCUGAUUAUCUCAUUCGUGAUUCUAUGCAUGCCUAAAUCUGAGGAUCCCUCAAGCAGCUAUAUGGACUUCUACUUUUAAAAUGCCUAUUACGCUUUCAUACUUUUUGCUGCUUCCUGAAGAGUGCCAUUUCGCCAAGCUUAAAUAGCAGAAAAUUGCACUGCUUUUCCUCUGCCCAUCUCCUCAAUCUCUAUUAACCUGCACAAGAACAAAGGAGUAUGAUAGUCCAGCUAUAGGUUGGGAAAUAGGUUUGAAGUUGUUUUUCAUUUACUGGUACCUAUCUUCCUGAUUCAUAAAUGUAUUUGAACAAUAACAUUAUUUUAAUACCUUAUCUAACGACUGAAAGCAUAGCCUUUAAUUACAGCUCUAUUUAUACUAAUAAAUAGGCUCUGUGUUCAGAAAUACAUGCAGCUAUUGUUUACACGGGCAUCAAAUGAUACCGUAGUGCUGUCAGCAUGUGUCAAGGAUUAAACAGAAAGGAAUAAAAAAGAAAAUAAUGAAAAAUGUUGUGGGUUUUUGUUAGGUUUUCUUUUCUUUCUUUCUU